GACGAACGCUGGCGGCGUGCUUAACACAUGCAAGUCGAACGGAAAGGCCCUUCGGGGUACUCGAGUGGCGAACGGGUGAGUAACACGUGGGUGAUCUGCCCUGCACUUUGGAUAAGCCUGGGAAACUGGGUCUAAUACCGAAUAUGACCGCGCUCUUCAUGGGGUGUGGUGGAAAGCUUUUGCGGUGUGGGAUGGGCCCGCGGCCUAUCAGCUUGUUGGUGGGGUAAUGGUCUACCAAGGCGACGACGGGUAGCCGGCCUGAGAGGGUGACCGGCCACACUGGGACUGAGAUACGGCCCAGACUCCCACGGGAGGCAGCAGUGGGGAAUAUUGCACAAUGGGCGCAAGCCUGAUGCAGCGACGCCGCGUGAGGGAUGACGGCCUUCGGGUUGUAAACCUCUUUCAAUAGGGACGAAGCGCAAGUGACGGUACCUAUAGAAGAAGGACCGGCCAACUACGUGCCAGCCGCCGCAGUAA
Molecule: ribosomal RNA, 477 nt
Filed under: uncultured bacterium
Lineage: Bacteria
Description: partial 16S ribosomal RNA
Rfam family: Bacterial small subunit ribosomal RNA
Source: RNAcentral